GAGUUUGAUCUUGGCUCAGAUUGAACGCUGGCGGCAUGCCUUACACAUGCAAGUCGAACGGCAGCACGGGAGCUUGCUCCUGGUGGGCGAGUGGCGAACGGGUGAGUAAUGCAUCGGAACGUAUCCUGGAGUGGGGGAUAACGUAGCGAAAGUUACGCUAAUACCGCAUAUUCUGUGAGCAGGAAAGCGGGGGACCUUCGGGCCUCGCGCUCUUGGAGCGGCCGAUGUCGGAUUAGCUAGUUGGUGAGGUAAAGGCUCACCAAGGCGACGAUCCGUAGCAGGUCUGAGAGGAUGAUCUGCCACACUGGAACUGAGACACGGUCCAGACUCCUACGGGAGGCAGCAGUGGGGAAUUUUGGACAAUGGGGGCAACCCUGAUCCAGCCAUGCCGCGUGAGUGAAG
RNAcentral lists this ribosomal RNA (402 nucleotides) under bacterium enrichment culture clone ALO1_GLFRUDD03G28TF. RNAcentral describes it as "bacterial SSU rRNA". It matches the Rfam family "Bacterial small subunit ribosomal RNA", at positions 9 to 410 of the family's 1533-position model. The record is from RNAcentral.